AUGGCCUGGUCUGCUGUCCUGCUCAUGCUUCUGGCUCACUGCACAGGGAUUACUUCCCAGAAUGUGGUAACUCAAGAAACAUCACUAUCCAUUACUCCUGGGGGAACAAUCACAUUCACCUGUGGCUCCAGUGCUGGAGCUGUUAUCACCGGUAACUAUCCUGUUUGGGUUCAACAGAAGCCAUACCAGGUGCCACGGGGUGUAAUAAGUUCAACCAAUAGUAGGCCUUCAGGUAUCCCUGCCCGAUUCUCUGGCUCCCUGCAAGGAAACAAGGCUGCCCUGACCAUCACAGGAGCCCAGGCUGAGGAUGAGGCUGAGUAUUACUGUGCUCUGUGGUUCAGCAACCAUUUCCACAGUGACAAAUGCAGGUGGGGAAGUGUGACAUAA
Molecule: non-coding RNA, 387 nt
Organism: Suncus etruscus (white-toothed pygmy shrew)
Lineage: Eukaryota; Metazoa; Chordata; Mammalia; Eulipotyphla; Soricidae
Source: the annotation of a RefSeq genome assembly